GCGGAAAGGAGAGUGAAGGUGCGGGAAGGAGAGCUGCAGGUGCGGGAAGGAGAGCUGCAGGUGCGGGAAGGAGAGCUGCAGGUGCGGGAAGGAGAGCUGCAGGUGCGGGAAGGAGAGCUGCAGGUGCGGGAAGGAGAGCUGCAGGUGCGGGAAGGAGAGCUGCAGGUGCGGGAAGGAGAGUGCAGGUGCGGGAAGGAGAGCUGCAGGUGCGGGAAGGAGAGCUGCAGGUGCGGGAAGGAGAGUGCAGGUGCGGGAAGGAGAGUGCAGGACCUGCAAAUACAACUGAUUAUCCUGAAGACAUACCACCUGUGGAACGCCUGACCCAGGAAAUAUUACUUCUUUGGGAAAAAGUUGCUUCAGUAGAAUCCCAGGGUCAAGAAAUUUGAGGAAACCAAAGACAACGGGUAAGUCAUUGGAAUACAGACACUUUCUCCCCUUCCCUCCCUCCCUCCCCCACUCUCUCCCCCUGCUGUCCCCUUUCUCUCUCUCUCUCUCUCUCUCUCUCUCCCUCUCCCUCUUCUCCCUCCCUCUACCCCUUUCCUCCCCCUCCCCUCCCCUCCCCCCUUCCCAACCCUUCCCCUUUUCCUCCUCCUCCCCUCCCCUCUUCUCCCUGUCCUCCCCCUCCCCUCCCCCCCUCCCUUCUCCCCUCCCUUCCCCUUCCCCCAUCUAAAUAUAUAUAUAUUUAUGGAGUCUCACUGUGUCACCCAAGCUUGAGUGCAGUGGUACCACCAUGGCUGACUGCAGCCUCAAACUCUGGGGCUCAAGGCAUCUUCCUGCCUCAGCCUCCUGAGUAGCUGGAGCUGCAGGUGCAUAUCACCACACCCGGCACAAACUUUGUUUUUCUACUGUGAAUUAAACCAUGGUAGUGGUUUUUCAUAAAUGGUGUUUCAUGGAGAAACUGUGCUCUGAAGUUUCCUACUUUGGUCGGUAGCAGCUAUAGAUGCCUCUUUCUGAUGUGCGGUUCUGUAAAGAGCAGCAGUUCUUUUAGACACAUAAUAAUAGUUACCCCUCACACUCAUACAUAAGUCGUCUCUCUCUCAACUGAAUCUUUCUCCUCUGUCUGCAUUUAACCAUGUUCACAUCUCUCCCAGUUUAAAGAGAAACCCCUGCCUUUGCCCCAGCGAUCUUGGGAGCUACACCCCGUUUAACCUUUCUUUUCCAAAAGACUUACUUGCCUGUACUCCCUGUCUCCAUUAGCAUCUCUCUCACUGACUACUCACCCCACUGCAUUCAGGCUUUCAACUCUACCUAAAACAGCUCUCUGUUGGUUAUACAUGAUCACAGCUCAUUAUCUUUAUGACGCUAGUAGACUCAUAAUAGCACACGUCUAUGACUAAUGAAUGUCUUCUUCCUCCACUAGUUAGUAGGCUUUCCCUUCGAACCUGGAAUGGAGUCUUUCCCAUAGAAGGUGCUCAAUAAAUAUUGAUUGAAUGAAUGAAGAAUACUGGUAACUCCUAUUAUAUAUGCUUCCCUCUUCCCUGUCCCAUUUUCCUUUACUCCUUUCUCUUAGCUGCUUUCCUGUGCUUCUAGCUUCUCCUUUUUCUUCUUGUUGCUCCCAUGUUUGAAUUCCACCUCACAGGGUUUUAAAGAUUAAAAAAAUAAUAUGACAUUGAUUUGAAAACUAUAAAAUACUAUGAAAAGCAUAAAUACUAAGAUAGCAGACUUUUCAAGUCAUAAUACAUGCUAAUACAUUUUCUUGCUUCUUGGGAAAACUAUAAAUACUGUCAAAAGCUUAAGUACUAAGGUAGCGGGCUUUUUAAGUCAUAGUACGUCCUAAUGCAUUUUCUUGUUUCUCAGGAUUAACUGUGGCUUCAUGUCUCACUGUGCCAUUUGUGUAUUGCUGCUGCUUUCUUCUUUUCUCAGUUGCUGCUGAUGCUAGAAAGAUUAGUAGAUGAACAGAGUCAGCUCAGUGAGGACUUAGAUGCAAAGAGACAGCUCUCUAGCAGGCUGGUGAAGUUCCAUGCCCAUCCAGAGAGCCUGCCAACUUUCAAACUAGAACUUACAACAUCGUCCCUCCUGGUCCUCAGGCCUUCAGUCUCCAGCAGCAGCUAUACUGUCAGCUCUCCUGGGUCUCCAGCUUGCUGCCUGCAGAUCUUGCGGCUUCUCAGCCUCUAUCAUCACAUAAGUCAAUUCCUUCUAAUAAAUCUUUUUCUGGCAUCUAUAAA
This is a non-coding RNA of Callithrix jacchus (white-tufted-ear marmoset), 2165 nucleotides long. NCBI's taxonomy places the organism in Eukaryota, Metazoa, Chordata, Mammalia, Primates, Cebidae. The record is from RefSeq and is a predicted model, not a curated record.